AUUGAACGCUGGCGGCAUGCCUUACACAUGCAAGUCGAACGGCAGCGGGGGAGAAGCUUGCUUUUCCUGCCGGCGAGUGGCGAACGGGUGAGUAAUACAUCGGAACGUGCCCUGUAGUGGGGGAUAACUAGUCGAAAGAUUAGCUAAUACCGCAUACGACCUGAGGGUGAAAGUGGGGGACCGCAAGGCCUCAUGCUAUAGGAGCGGCCGAUGUCUGAUUAACUAGUUGGUGGGGUAAAGGCCUACCAAGGCGACGAUCAGUAGCUGGUCUGAGAGGACGAUCAGCCACACUGGGACGGAGACACGGCCCAGACUCCUACGGGAGGCAGCAGUGGGGAAUUUUGGACAAUGGGCGAAAGCCUGAUCCAGCAAUGCCGCGUGUGUGAAGAAGGCCUUCGGGUUGUAAAGCACUUUUGUCCGGAAAGAAAUGGCUCUGGUUAAUACCUGGGGUCGAUGACGGUACCGGAAGAAUAAGGACCGGCUAACUACGUGCCAGCAGCCGCUGUAA
This 508-nucleotide ribosomal RNA is filed under the name uncultured bacterium. Its description in RNAcentral is "partial 16S ribosomal RNA". It matches the Rfam family "Bacterial small subunit ribosomal RNA", at positions 30 to 523 of the family's 1533-position model. The record is from RNAcentral.